CUGGGGAGAUGGUUCUGUGAGUCUCUUUUGGAGUGGCUUGGGACAUUGGCUGCCGGCUGAGCUGCACAGGAGAGGGCGCACUUGGGAAUGUAGUGUCUCAUGGCCCACUCGAGAGUCUAGAGCUGUCACACCAGGGCUUCCAGGCACCCCAGGAAUCGGCAAGAGGCACAUUCAGCAUUCCCCACCUGGUUUCGUUGCUCAUCUCUUCAGGUUGAGAAGUGGCCUUGGAACAAGGAUGGUCACAGGGAGUCAAGGAAACAAUAAAGCAGAUAUCCUCUCAGAGAGGUUACAAGAAAUGCCCAGGAUGCAGAUGAUGAAUGGGCAGUACGGCAGGCAGUGAGAAAUGAUGACCAGAGCUCACGUCCUGACUUACGCUAGGCCAGCCACACUUGCCAACCUAUCCCAUCCAUCAAGACAGGGGAACACAAGGAAAGAGGAGGACAUAAUAUAAUGCACACUUGGAUGUAAUCCGUGCAACUCUGACUGUGAUUUAAGGAGAAGAGGAAAAGCAAGAAAAACGCUUCAGCUGGAGCAGGCUGCGAAGCAUAUUUAGAGAACCAUUUCCAUUUUAGUAGCGUGUGUCUUUCCCAUAUCAAAUGACGCGUCUGGCAAACACUAAAGCGCAACACCUUUUGGGGCUCUAAGUGUCUCAACAAUAGAUGAAGUCAUCUUAAAGGGACCACAAAGCCACUUAGCAUCUGGCACUUUGUCUCCACCCUGGUGGGGACAAGAGAGAAGAGUGCUUGAGUGGCAGAGCACGCGUGGCUCCUGUCUGGAUGACGCACAGGGAGCCCUGUUCACCAUGUGACCUUCUCAUUGAGCCUGUGAGGAGAUGACUUCCCAAGUGGGGUGUAGUGCAAAGGUAUUAUCCUUCAUCAUUACACAGACGGUUUCCACAGAAAUCACAGCAGCAUGCAAAACAAAGAAUAAAA
This 932-nucleotide long non-coding RNA is filed under the name Meriones unguiculatus (Mongolian gerbil). RNAcentral describes it as "lncRNA (ENSMUGG00000017085.1)". The record is from RNAcentral. Lineage: Eukaryota; Metazoa; Chordata; Mammalia; Rodentia; Muridae.